This is a long non-coding RNA of Panicum virgatum (switchgrass), 4468 nucleotides long. RefSeq lists it as uncharacterized. The transcript has 3 exons. Lineage: Eukaryota; Viridiplantae; Streptophyta; Magnoliopsida; Poales; Poaceae. The record is from RefSeq and is a predicted model, not a curated record.
GUUAAUAUUAGGGAAAUCUACAAGUCAUUGCAACCUUCUCAAAUUAAAUCAUAAAGUCAUUGUAGGCUGUCUGAUGAAUGUAAAUGAAUAAAAUACCUGCAGUUUUGAAAGAUGCAAUUGCAAACUAUAUGCAUACCAGAUAUUUAUCAACAAAUUGCUCAACUAAUUCUUCAUAAAUGUGAGCCAAAUAGAUUACAUCAAGCUGCCAUUUUAGCUGAACAUGCACUCAGAUACAACUAAUCUGGCUUUUGCUGCAUUCAGUAAAUGCUUGCUUCCAAAACAACUUUUAUUCUAAAUGAAAGGGAAUUACGAUUGGUACUGCACAGAAGUUGAAUUAUGAUGGCGCGGUUCUUGUAAUUCUUAAGGCACAAUUCUAACAAGAAUCCAACAAAUAUCACAUCAAAGAAGUCUGCUACUGAACAAUCCAAGAAAAUAGCACAGGCCAUGAAUAGUGAAUAACCAGGUGGUAUUUGUGGCAAGGCUAGUGCUGAUGAAGGGGUUAUCCUCUGAACAUGAAGUCACAAUUCACAUAAAGUAAAAAAAAAUCCAUUGUUUCUGAAAUUGCAUAGUUCCAGAAAAUCAGCAAAGACAUUAAUACACUUUAUCGCAAAAUAUACCGCUCUAAGUGACUUCACUUCAGCUCUACAGAAAAACUACGGGUACAUGUACAGAUAUGUACAUCUAUGCCACACAAAAUUGUUUGAAAAAGGCCUCUGAGGCAGGCAUAAAAAAUAACCGCCUCAGUUAAUGUUGGGCAUUAACAGAGGUGGUUAUUUCUUAUUAACCAAGGCGGUUACGAAAACCGCCUAGCCAAACCCUCUCUCUCUCGCCCCCCCCCGUACAAGAGGCGAGUCGUGCAAGGUGGCUAGGCGGCUGGUGCGCCAAGGGGGCCACACUAUCUUCAGAUUAUUAUCAUUAGGGGUUUUAUUGUUAAUUAGCGUGAGACAUGUGUAAUACUCUUUGAGAAAUUAAGCAGAAACAUAUCAUUGUUUCCAGCUUCCCCACGGGAGCCGGCCCUAGCCCUAGCGCCGCCUCCUCCUCCUGCAUCGGCCACGGCGCCCUCUCGCCACCGCUUAUCCAGAGUUCCCUCGAGGACGAGCUGUUUGCGAAGACCGGGAGAGAUGUUAUGACCGGCCUCACGUACAAGAGGCGAGUCGCGCAAGGUGGCUAGGCGGCUGGUGCGCCAAGUGGGCCAAGGAGGCCACGCUAUCUUCAGAUUAUUAUCAUUAUGGGUUUUAUUGUUAAUUAGCGUGAGACAUAUAAAUACUUGUGUAAGACUCUUUGAGAAAUUAAGCAAAAACAAAUCAUUGUUUCCGGCUUCCCCACGGGAGCCGGCCCUAGCCCUAGCGCUGCCUCCUCCUCCUCCUGCGCCGGCCACCACGGCGCCCUCUCGCCGCCCUUGCCGCCCCUCACCUCGCUCGCUGCUCACGCAUCCCUACAACCUCCGCCCAAUCCCCGGUAGGGUUAGGGUUCCUAACUCUCUCUCUCUCUCCCUCUCUCCAGCAUGCCAUCCGCAGGCGGCGGCGGCGGCGCUACGGAUUCGGGUGUUGCGGAGCCAUCUCGGGGGGGGGGGGGGUGCAGAGUGGACCCGGCGGUGGCCCAGGCGAGCACACGGUGGUGGCGGCCCUGGUGAACGGCGGGCGAGCGCCCCAGCGGGUGAAUCCGGCGCCGGCGGAGCGGCGGCGGCGCUGGGCGCGGGAUUUUUUUUGAUUAACUGAGGCGGGCGCAAGACAACUGACUCAGAAGAUGCUCGAUUAACAGAGGCGAUAAGUCUGAGGCGGUUGCCUUUGCCCGCCUCUAAAAAUAGUUUUCAACCGCCUCAGAAAAAUACUGUAGUAGUGUAAUGAACGAACGCUGGACAUUAUCAGAUGCAAGCACCAUUUCACCUUAUUAAGCACCAUUUCACAUAAGCGAUUAGGCAUUUUCAUACUAACUGAUCAACAAGCUCAUGCAUCAGGCAGACAGGCACCCACCACACAUUCACACAAAGCUGUCUACUUAUAUAUCAGAUAAAUAGCACUACAGCAGAGCAAAGUAGAGCACCAACUCCAAGCACAAGCAGAUGCACUAGUAACCUAGCAGAGGGAAAGAAUAGGAGAGGAAAAGGAACCUAUGUUCGUGUGAUGUAGCUGCGGGAGGGGGUACAGAAGCGGAAGAAGAACCAGGAGCUCGACGACGGAUUCAUUGGGGAAGAGGAAGAAGAUGAAGAUCGAUUGGAGUAGAAGGGGCUGGAGCCACGAGAUUGGGGAGCAGGCACGAUGGGGUCGGAGCAAGGCGGAGCAGAAGUCGGAGGUGCCGAUCAGCAGGUGGAGGCUUCAAUUGACGAUGGGCGAAGCGCAGAUCGAAGGCCGUGGAGGCAUGGAGUUGCAGCAGAAGAGGAGGCGUGCAAGCGGGAGCGGCUGGAUGGAGGCGGCACGCUGCCGGAUUCCAGGUCCGCGCUGCCGCCCUCCUCUCUUCCCUCCUCUGUCAAUCGGCGCUGCAGGUGCGUGCGUGCCCCCUGGUAUUGGGGGUGGGGGGAGGGGAGCUUGGCUGCCGGCACAGAUGUCGUGAGCGGCACGGGAGAGGAGGGGGUGCGGCGCCGGCGGGAUUGUGAGCGUUGGAGGUGGAGGGGGUACGAUCGGGGCGGUUGCUGGGCUGCCUGGACAUUGUGGGGUGCGUGGCGGCGGGGGACCGAGGAGGGUGCGCGAUGGAGACCGGGGGAACGCCGUACAGGAAAAUCGGGAACCUACUGAUGCAACUUGUGAUGUUGGUAAUGAAGCUGAGAAUGUACCUACUCAUGCAACUUGUGAUGUUGGUAAUACUCUUCCCAAAGAUCAUAGGGAGCAUUCGAAUAGACAAGAGGAAACUAAUGCGCCCGAAUGUGGAGAUAAACAUUGUUCAUCUUCUAGAUACCAGUCUUCAUCAGUUAAGAGUUUCUUGAAUUUGGUGGAACCCACAUCUGGUCAAAGCCAGCAAACUGGAAGUAGCAAAGUUCCUUUCAUCAGCUCUGAAAAUUCAGGGCCACCUCAAAGUAAUGAAUGUUGUCCCCAUUGCUCUGAAGUUGAGUGCAGUUCAAUGCCCUUGCCUAGUUUUGCAGGUCCCAUUGAGCCUAUUCCCAUUAUUGUUGAUGAUAGUCAGGUAAUUGUAUUACUUAUUUUAUUGUUUGGUGCCCCAUUUUCUUAAUUGAUUGAUUAAAGAUGAUGAUAUUUUAUAACAUUUUGUACUUGAAGUUUUACUUAUUCCCCUUAGUGUAAGUUUUGUUAUGUUGCUUUGUAAUUUGAUUGGCUUUGUUAUGGAGUAAUGAUGGCAUAUAGUUGCAUCUAUUUGUGUGUGUUUGUGUGUGUGUGUGUGGUGCCAUGAAUUGUAAAACCUUGAACUAAUAGAGCCCGCUGUGGAAUGGUUCUGAUUCUGUGACACCGAGCAGGCUGUUCUUACAUUUGCCAUAUCAGCCUUGUGAAGCUAGAGCCCCUGUUUUCUGUGCUAUAAGAGCAACUCCAGCAGACUCUCUAAACAGCCCCAUAUCCCAAGUUAAGAGGGUUAAGCCAAAAAAUACACUUCAGCAGACCCUCUACUUCACCCUCUAUUUUAGGGAGGCCUCCAAAAUCCCUCCUCCACCCUCCAUUCCUAGGGGGUCUCUAGGGAGCCCUCUAUUAUAUAUUAGAAUUAAGGGCUAUUGCUGGAGUUAGAACUAAUUUAGAAGCCCCUAAAAAAUAGAGGCAGUCCCCAUUUAACAUUUAGAUGAUCUGAUUUAGGGGCUAUUGCUGGAGUUGCUCUAAUGAUUAGUAAGCCACACCCUAAGUUACUAAUGAUUUAGGCAGUCUUUUCAUUUUUUGCAUCUCAUCUGUUUUCGAUUCAUUGUCAUGUAUGGUUUUCUGAUAAUAUUUCUGUUCCAGAGCUGUCCUUUGUAGCUAGAAGUUGUCAUUACUGGUGAAAAACUUGUGGACUCGUAUAAAACACCAGAUCUGGUUAUUACUGGAUCUACAAAUUUCAAGACAAGUUGUGAAGCGCCGGCCAAAGAGGCUAAUGAUCUGUACAAUGAUGAGCAGCGUACAUGUUUCAAGAGAUGCGAGGAGAUAGGUUUCAAGUUUGGGUCUUCUUCCAAAGGACAAUUCCCACGUCGGAAGAGACGUAUACUCAAACCAAACUCGUAUUUCUGUGACUUUUUGGUGAACAUGUGCAAUGCUAGGAUACACUUUUCUUGUGAAGGGAAAUUAGCCUAUGAAUGUUUAAAAACUUUGCAUUGAACUGUUAUUGUUUUUCUAAUCACUCAUGCUUUGUCUUACUGAAGAUGUUGUUAUUAAUUCUGGCAAAGUCUGCAUGACAUAUCAUGAGCUUGGGUCAACAUUAAGCCGCUGUAACAAGGUUGUUGUUCACAGCCAUGUUAUUAAUGCUUUGUGUCGCAAGCUUUUCAAAGACAGGCAUCCCACCGUUUCACGACGGCAUUACUUUUUCUCAACUGUUGGAGUAAGAUUGAAUUAUCCUUUUUUAA